Non-coding RNA from Microcebus murinus (gray mouse lemur), 418 nucleotides. Lineage: Eukaryota; Metazoa; Chordata; Mammalia; Primates; Cheirogaleidae. The record is from RefSeq and is a predicted model, not a curated record.
UCACCUAACCAGCCCCAGUGGCCCCUGGUCACUGACCUCACAUACACUGACCUACUGUUACACUUGCUGUGAGUAUACAGUGAAGUGCUCCCGAGCCACAUUUAAGUGGAAGUGCCAUUAUUGAAAUUCAUGUGAUGCAACAUAAUAAUGUGUAACCAACAGCUUACAUAGAAUUCACAGCAUGUUGGAUCUGGAAAGAGCCACAAAUAUGAUCUAAUGAAGUCUAACAUUAUCUUUUCACAAGAGAAGAAAUUAUGUCCUGUUAAUAUUAAACCUAUGAGUUUCCCCACAGUCAUACAGCAAGUUGCCUAUAACACAGGAUUAAAUUCAAGGACUUUUGGCUCCCAGGAAAGUAUCACCAAAACUCAGCAAGAUUUGACUUCAAGAGGUCACCUGUUUCAUCACUAUGAGAGCAAAG